This 469-nucleotide long non-coding RNA is filed under the name Bos mutus (wild yak). RNAcentral's name for it is "lncRNA (ENSBMUG00000019047.1)". The record is from RNAcentral. Lineage: Eukaryota; Metazoa; Chordata; Mammalia; Artiodactyla; Bovidae.
CCAAAUAUGACUGAAUAAAGUUGUAUUCCUUGGCUCAGCACCUGUUUCUUGGAUUUAUUGGCCUGUCCAUAGGGUGAGCAGUGUGAGCUUGGACUUGGUAACAAUUUCACCUUCUUUUUCUCCCCGAUAAGAGAUAUUUUUGCUGAGUGUGUCCGCUUGUGCAAGGUACAGCGAGGAGGAACGCCAGGCGCGUGUAAGUCCUCUUCUGCAAGAUUCGUGGGAGAGUCACGCUCUAGUGGACAGGACAUGAGCUGUGAAGGCAGACAGACCCGCGUCUUCAUUUCAGCUCGCCUCUCACUGGCUGUGUCUCCUUGGAUAAUCUGUCUUUGAGUCUUGUUUUUCUUACCUGUGAAAUAGAGAUCAUGUAUCUACUCAGGACUGCUCUGUGGCUUGGGUGAACUGAAUGAAUGGAAAAGCUCUGACUGUCCGGAGCACAGUGAGUCAUCAGGGAAGGUGAGGUGCCGUCCCC